UAGUUUUUUUAGAAAUAAAUUUAAUUUACAAAUUUUUAAUUUUUAAUUUAUUUUUUAAAUUUAAAAAUUUAUUAAUUUGAAUAUUUUAAGGGAUAAGCUUUAAAAUAAAAUAUUAAAAAUCAUUGAAUAAUUUAUUUAAAAUGUAUCAUAGAAUUAGCAAUCAUUUAUAAGUUUGUUAUAAAUUAUUUUAUAGUUUAUUUUAUUUAAUUUUGUUUUCAUUGAAUUUAUAAAAAUUUUUUUAUUAAUUUUAAAAUAAGAAGUAAUAAUGAUCAAAUUAGNAUAUUUAAUUAUUGUUAAAAUAUUUUAUAUUGAAAAGUUUAUAUAAAGAACUCGGCAAAUUUAUUUUAUACUCGCCUGUUUAACAAAAACAUGUCUUUUUGAAUUAAAUUUAAAGUCUGACCUGCCCACUGAAUAAUUUUAAAUGGCCGCAGUAUUUUGACUGUGCAAAGGUAGCAUAANCAUUAGUCUUUUAAUUGAAGGCUGGUAUGAACGGUUGGACGAAGUAUAANCUGUUUCAUAUAAAUUUAUAAUAGAAUUUUAUAUUUUAGUUAAAAAGCUAAAAUUUUAUUAAAAGACGAGAAGACCCUAUAAAUCUUUAUAUUUAAUAUUAACUAAAUUUUUUUGGUUUAUUUUAUUUUUUUAAUAUAAUUAUUUUGUUGGGGUGAUAUUAAAAUUUAAUGAACUUUUAAUUUUUUAAAAAUCAUUAAUUUAUGAAUUAUUGAUCCAUUAAUAUUGAUUAUAAGAUUAAGUUACUUUAGGGAUAACAGCGUAAUUUUUUUUAAGAGUUCAUAUCGACAAAAAAGUUUGCGACCUCGAUGUUGGAUUAAGGUAUAAUUUUGGGUGUAGUAGUUCAAAAAUUAAGUCUGUUCGACUUUUA
This 877-nucleotide ribosomal RNA is filed under the name Anastrepha acris. RNAcentral describes it as "partial 16S ribosomal RNA". The record is from RNAcentral. Lineage: Eukaryota; Metazoa; Arthropoda; Insecta; Diptera; Tephritidae.